Non-coding RNA from Phrynosoma platyrhinos (Desert horned lizard), 75 nucleotides. NCBI's taxonomy places the organism in Eukaryota, Metazoa, Chordata, Lepidosauria, Squamata, Phrynosomatidae. The record is from the annotation of a GenBank genome assembly.
CCAUUGUGGUUUAAUGGUUUGAGCACUGGACUAUGACUCUGGAGACCAGGGUUCAAAUCCUGGCAUGACCAUGGA